Acanthochromis polyacanthus (spiny chromis) is the source of this 1952-nucleotide long non-coding RNA. RefSeq lists it as uncharacterized. The transcript is spliced from 4 exons. NCBI's taxonomy places the organism in Eukaryota, Metazoa, Chordata, Actinopteri, Pomacentridae. The record is from RefSeq and is a predicted model, not a curated record.
AUCAGAGGACUUCCUGUGGGCUUUUGAGGUCUUCGGCAUGGCGUUGACCUCUGGCAUCAUCAUCACCAUCACCAUCAUCGCAGCCAUGACGACGGCCUGAAGGGGUGGAGCCACAAAAACGUUCUCCUUGGGAUGGUUCAGAUGGAAGAAGGUUCCCCGGGUUCUGCUGGAGGUUCAGGUUCAGGUUCAGGUCCUGGUUCUUCUCUGAUGGUCUCUCCUGGUCUCUGAUGGUCUCUGCUGGUCUCUGCUGGUCUCUGCUGGUCUUCUCCUGGUCUCUGGGCUUUUAUCUGGUCUCCUCGGGGCUCGGACCUCCUCUGAUGAUGUCACAGCGUCUCUUCCUGCGUUUGAAGUGGAACCGCAUGACGAGGCCUCGACCCACUUUCAGUCGACUCAGAGGAAGGAACAUGGAGAAAAGCCACACAUGUGCAGGAGAACAUGGAGAAAAGCCACACAUGUGCAGGAGAACAUGGAGAAAAGCCACACAUGUGCAGGAGAACAUGGAGAAAAGCCACACAUGUGCAGGAGAACAUGGAGAAAAGCCACACAUGUGCAGGAGAACAUGGAGACUCCAUGCAGGAAGAUCCAGGAAGGACAGGACGAGAACCGAGGAUCCUCCAGCUGUGAGGCAGCGAUGCUAACCACUGAUGCACUGUGCAGCCCAAACCCAGAAUAACACAUCAGAUACACCAUAUUGCCAAAAGUAUCUGCUCACCCAUCCAAAUAAUCAGAAUCAGGUGUUCCAAUCACUUCCAUGGCCACAGGUGUAUAAAAUCAAUCACCUGGGCAUGCAGACUGCUUUUACAAACAUUAGUGAAAGAAUGGGUCGCUCUCAGGAGCUCAGUGAAUUCCAGCGUGGAACUGUGAUAGGAUGCCACCUGUGCAACAAAUCCAGUCGUGACAUUUCCUCUCUCCUAAAUAUUCCGCAGUCAGCUGUAUUAUAAGAAAGUGGAAGUGUGUGGGAACGACAGCAGCUCAGCCACCAAGUGGUCGACCACGUAAACUGAUGGAGCGGGUCAGAGGAUGCCAAGAGGUGGACAACUUUCUGCAGAGUCAAUGAAUACAGACCUUCAGACUUCAUGUGGCCUUCAGAUUAGCUCAAGAACAGAGCUUCAGCAGAGAGCUUCAUGGAAUGGGUUUCCAUGGCCGAGCAGCUGCAUCCAAGCCGUACAUCACCAAGUACAAUGCAGAGCGUGGGAUGCAGUGGUGUAAAGCACGCCGCCACUGGACUCUAGAGCAGUGGAGACGCCUUCUAUGGAGUGACCAAUCACGCUUCUCCAUCUGCCAAUCUGAUGGACCAGUCUGGGUUUGGUGGUUUCCAGGAGAACCAUACUUGUGGGACUGCAUUGUGCCAAGUGUAAAGUUUGGUGGAGGGGGGAUUGUGGUGUGGGCUUGUUCUUCAGGAGCUGGACUUGGCCCCUUAGUUCCAGUGAAAGGAACUCUGAAUGCUUCAGCAUACCAAGACAUUUUGGACAAUUCCAUGAUCCCAACUUUGUGGGAACAGUUUGGAGCUGGCCCCUUCCUCUUCCAACAUGACUGUGCACCAGUGCACAAAGCAAGGUCCAUGAAGACAUGGAUGACAGAGUCUGGUGUGGAUGAACUGGACUGGCCUGCACAGAGUCCUGACCUCAGCCCGAUAGAACACCUUUGGGAUGAAUUAGAGCGGAGACUGAGAGCCAGACCUUCUGGUCCAACAUCAGUGUGUGACCUCACAGAUGAGCUUCUGGAAGAACGGUCAAAAAUCCCCAUAAACACACUCCUAAACCUUGUGGACAGCCUUCCCAGAAGAGUUGAAGCUGUUGUAGCUGCAAAGGGUGGACCGACGUCAUAUUGAACCCUAUGGAUUAGGAAUGGGAUGUCACUGAUGUUCAUAUGCGAGUCAAGGCAGUUCUCCCUCCGUCCAGCAGAGGGCGUCACUCUUCCUCUCCAGUCUCCACCUGCUUCCUGCUUCUGUG